GACGAACGCUGGCGGCGUGCUUAACACAUGCAAGCCGAGCGGUAAGGCCCUUUCGGGGGUACACGAGCGGCGAACGGGUGAGUAACACGUGAGCAAUCUUCCCCUGUCUCUGGGAUAACCACUUGAAACGGUGGCUAAUACCGGAUAUGACCUCCUUCUGCAUGGUUGUUGGUGGAAAAGUCCGCUGGACAGGGAUGAGCUCGCGGCCUAUCAGCUUGUUGGUGGGGUAAUGGCCUACCAAGGCGACGACGGGUAGCCGGCCUGAGAGGGUGACCGGCCACGCUGGGACUGAGACACGGCCCAGACUCCUACGGGAGGCAGCAGUGGGGAAUAUUGGACAAUGGGCGAAAGCCUGAUCCAGCAACGCCGUGUGAGGGAUGACGGCCUUCGGGUUGUAAACCUCUUUCCGCAGGGACGAAGCGAAAGUGACGGUACCUGCAGAAGAAGGACCGGCCAACUACGUG
This 464-nucleotide ribosomal RNA is filed under the name uncultured bacterium. Its description in RNAcentral is "partial 16S ribosomal RNA". It matches the Rfam family "Bacterial small subunit ribosomal RNA", at positions 28 to 507 of the family's 1533-position model. The record is from RNAcentral.